CUCUCGGGUGACGAGUGGCGGACGGGUGAGUAAUGUCUGGGAAACUGCCUGAUGGAGGGGGAUAACUACUGGAAACGGUAGCUAAUACCGCAUAACGUCGCAAGACCAAAGAGGGGGACCUUCGGGCCUCUUGCCAUCAGAUGUGCCCAGAUGGGAUUAGCUAGUAGGUGGGGUAACGGCUCACCUAGGCGACGAUCCCUAGCUGGUCUGAGAGGAUGACCAGCCACACUGGAACUGAGACACGGUCCAGACUCCUACGGGAGGCAGCAGUGGGGAAUAUUGCACAAUGGGCGCAAGCCUGAUGCAGCCAUGCCGCGUGUGUGAAGAAGGCCUUCGGGUUGUAAAGCACUUUCAGCGGGGAGGAAGGGGGUAAGGUUAAUAACCUUAUUCAUUGACGUUACCCGCAGAAGAAGCACCGGCUAACUCCGUGCCAGCAGCCGCGGUAAUACGGAGGGUGCAAGCGUUAAUCGGAAUUACUGGGCGUAAAGCGCACGCAGGCGGUCUGUCAAGUCGGAUGUGAAAUCCCCGGGCUCAACCUGGGAACUGCAUU
RNAcentral lists this ribosomal RNA (550 nucleotides) under bacterium BaC1-37. Its description in RNAcentral is "bacterial SSU rRNA". It matches the Rfam family "Bacterial small subunit ribosomal RNA", at positions 81 to 627 of the family's 1533-position model. The record is from RNAcentral.